RNAcentral lists this transfer RNA (58 nucleotides) under Neotoma lepida (desert woodrat). It matches the Rfam family "tRNA", at positions 8 to 63 of the family's 71-position model. Rfam says of the family: Transfer RNA (tRNA) molecules are approximately 80 nucleotides in length. The record is from Rfam by way of RNAcentral. Lineage: Eukaryota; Metazoa; Chordata; Mammalia; Rodentia; Cricetidae.
UAGCUCAGUUGGUAGAGUGCUUGUCUAGCAUGCAUGAGGCCCUGGGUUAAAUCCCCAG